UUCACCCUGUAUUAGCUCCUGUGAUUGCUGCAGACCAUUAGCUUCUCCAUCUGUCCUCAAAGUGCUGGGUGCCAUUCCUGCAAUCCACUGGCGGCAGGCAGCACGCCCGUUU
Molecule: non-coding RNA, 112 nt
Organism: Ceratotherium simum simum (southern white rhinoceros)
Lineage: Eukaryota; Metazoa; Chordata; Mammalia; Perissodactyla; Rhinocerotidae
Source: RefSeq, a predicted model, not a curated record